This 253-nucleotide ribosomal RNA is filed under the name uncultured bacterium. RNAcentral describes it as "partial 16S ribosomal RNA". It matches the Rfam family "Bacterial small subunit ribosomal RNA", at positions 524 to 776 of the family's 1533-position model. The record is from RNAcentral.
UACGUAGGGUGCGAGCGUUAAUCGGAAUUACUGGGCGUAAAGCGUGCGCAGGCGGCUUUGCAAGACAGAUGUGAAAUCCCCGGGCUCAACCUGGGAACUGCAUUUGUGACUGCAAGGCUAGAGUACGGCAGAGGGGGAUGGAAUUCCGCGUGUAGCAGUGAAAUGCGUAGAUAUGCGGAGGAACACCCAUGGCGAAGGCAAUCCCCUGGGCCUGUACUGACGCUCAUGCACGAAAGCGUGGGGAGCAAACAGG